Molecule: ribosomal RNA, 1955 nt
Filed under: Triticum aestivum (bread wheat)
Lineage: Eukaryota; Viridiplantae; Streptophyta; Magnoliopsida; Poales; Poaceae
Description: partial small subunit ribosomal RNA
Source: RNAcentral
GGAGAGCCUGCGGCGGUGAUUAGGAGAACCCUAGGGGAGUAAGGUUUGGGGGGAGCUUUGGAGGGAGACGGGCUAGGUUGGUUGGUCACGAGGAGGAAACUAGGGCUCACGUCGGUGGAUGGGUUUGAGACUCUUAGGGGUGCUAGGAUGGGCGCGGAGGGGACCUAGGGGAGCAGGUCGGUAGCGGGGCACAGGGUGCGAGUACGAGCAGAAGGUGUGUGACUGCCCUCUCCUCGAGGGCUAGGCACACAGGUUCCGCAGGAGCAGCGGCAACGAGCUCGGAGGAGGCCGUCGGCAGCGACCGCUGGUGGACGUAGCUCGGUGGUUCAGGCGGCGGUUCCAGGACAGCCCUCGCUGUGGCGGGCCUAGGCUGAUAGAGACGUAGCAGGCACGGGGACGGAGUGGUACCUGCGCGGAGGGGUCGAACGGCCUCAGGCUCGCCGGGCGGACGAGGGGACUACGACGGCGACAGUCCGAGACAGCUUCCGCUGUUCGGGGUGGAGUAGACGCGGGUCUAGAGGGCGCUCGACGGGAGUCUUGCCUCAAGGUGACGGUGGAUCGGAGCCUAGGCCGGCCAAGGACAUGCGGGGGCGGCCUCGUUCAGGGUAGUGGCGGCCGUGGUCACGAUGGGACAAAGGGGACGUAGAGGAGGCGAAGUCCAGCUUGUUGUUCCUCGAGCAGGCCAGGUCGGGGCGCGGACUGGCGCGACCGGUCGACGUACCCGGCCGGAGGAGAAGUCGACGCCGGGUCGUGGCGAAGGUCGAUUCGGGUCGGCGCGCGGGGACGGCCGGAGUGGAGAAGGUGGCUGAACCCGAACCGGGUACCACUCCGGGUGACGUCGCGGAGAAAAAAAAGAAAGAAAGAAAAUACGACCGGGUUGUACGAAUCUAAACCGGACAAAUCCAAAAAGGGGUCUAGACACUUUAAAUCAAUAAAAAGGUCCUAGACACCAAAACGUCUUUUUGGGAACAUGUAGUACGUAUAUUAUUGAAAAGUGGGCAAGUAGCCUUGGGUUAUUUGAAAUAUACAUUUUACGAAUCUUAAAACACAUCUAGUUAUUAUACGUUAAAAGUUGGUACAAAUUUUACGAAUUCUACAACAAACAAAUUUGAACGAAUUAAUUGAACGAUUUUACUGAAUAAAGUAUUGAUUUAUUGGCAUUGAGCCUAAAAUUAUUUGAAAUAUACAUUUACCCCACCUUUUUACGGAUCAAAUUGCACCACUGGAAUGAAACGUACAAUUUAUUGAGAUUUUAACACAAAUUCCUUCUAGUCAUGGUUUGGAAUUUUAUACGUAUACCCCUAAAAAGGCCUGAACAACGAACAACAAGGUCGGAGUAAAUUUGAACGGAUCUAUCCAUCAAAACAAAACGAAGUGGGAGUACGGUACAAAUUGUUGUAAAUUAUAACUACCCAUGUAUUUGCUCUAGCUUGAUUUAUUGAACAACACCACAAAGCAGUUAUACGUUGAGCAACGUAUCACUCGAGGUGAAUUAAACAUCUUAACGAACACGUGAAACGGUACGGUACGAAGUAAUUUGGCCUGUACGUAGUAUGAAUCAACACGUAGUACGGUACCAGUACACAACUAACAAAUGAUACAACAAACGAGGAAAGGCCACAACGAAGAAGCCCAACCAAGGCUAAUGCAGCACACACACUCCUAGGCCAGCUGAUUCAGGCAAACAGAAGAAGUACCUGAGCAAGAAGAAGGAACACCCUAGAAUCAAACGUCCACAGCUACAAUGACUCAUCUACUGCGUUGGUUCGAGUUCCUCCUCGAGCUACUUCUAGAACAGGAAACACAACUAGGUAAAGGUCAACUAGUCAUCACCUCGGGUCAACCCCAGCUAGCCCCUAGACACAUCGUAAACCCUAUCAGAAGAAAAUAAAACCAAGGCAUCAGCCUGGAACUAACAUAGACCUACUACAUUACGAAAUAAGUACAUAACACAC